GAAACGACUGCUAAGACUGGAUAGGAAAAGUGAAGGCAUCUUUACUUUUUUAAAAGACCUUCUUUGAAGGUAUGCUUAAGGAGGGGCUUGCGACACAUUAGUUAGUUGGCAGGGUAAAGGCCUACCAAGACUAUGAUGUGUAGCUGGACUGAGAGGUUGAACAGCCACAUUGGGACUGAGACACGGCCCAAACUCCUACGGGAGGCAGCAGUAGGGAAUUUUCGGCAAUGGAGGAAACUCUGACCGAGCAACGCCGCGUGAACGAUGAAGUACCUCGGUAUGUAAAGUUCUUUUAUUAAGGAAGAAAAAAGAGUGGAAAAACUCCCUUGACGGUACUUAAUGAAUAAGCCCCGGCUAAUUAUGUGCCAGCAGCCGCGGUAAUACAUAAGGGGCGAGCGUUAUCCGGAAUUAUUGGGCGUAAAGGGUGCGUAGGCGGUUUAAUAAGUCUAUAGUUUAAUUUCAGCGCUUAACGCUGUUGUGCUAUAGAAACUGUUUUACUAGAGUGAGAUAGAGGCAAGCGGAAUUCCAUGUGUAGCGGUAAAAUGCGUAAAUAUAUGGAGGAACACCAGAGGCGUAGGCGGCUUGCUGGGUCUUUACUGACGCUGAGGCACGAAAGCGUGGGGAGCAAACAGGAUUAGAUACCCUGGUAGUCCACGCCGUAAACGAUGAGUACUAAGUGUCGGGUAAAACCGGUACUGAAGUUAACACAUUAAGUACUCCGCCUGAGUAGUACGUACGCAAGUAUGAAACUUAAAGGAAUUGACGGGACUCCGCACAAGCGGUGGAUCAUGUUGUUUAAUUCGAAGAUACACGAAAAACCUUACCAGGUCUUGACAUUUUCUUGCGAAGUUAUAGAAAUAUAAUGGAGGUUAUCAGGAAAACAGGUGGUGCAUGGUUGUCGUCAGCUCGUGUCGUGAGAUGUUAGGUUAAGUCCUAAAACGAGCGCAACCCUUGUCGUUAAUUGCCAGCAUGUAAUGAUGGGGACUUUAACGAGACUGCCAAUGAAAAAUUGGAGGAAGGUGGGGAUUACGUCAAAUCAUCAUGCCCCUUAUGAUCUGGGCUACAAACGUGAUACAAUGGUUGAUACAAAGAGUAGCUGAAACGUGAGUUCUUAGCCAAUCUCAUAAAAUCAAUCUCAGUUCGGAUUGAAGUCUGCAACUCGACUUCAUGAAGUUGGAAUCGCUAGUAAUCGUGAAUCAGCAUGUCACGGUGAAUACGUUCUCGGGGUUUGUACACACCGCCCGUCA
Molecule: ribosomal RNA, 1247 nt
Filed under: 'Triadica sebifera' yellows phytoplasma
Lineage: Bacteria; Bacillati; Mycoplasmatota; Mollicutes; Acholeplasmatales; Acholeplasmataceae
Description: bacterial SSU rRNA
Rfam family: Bacterial small subunit ribosomal RNA
Source: RNAcentral